Molecule: ribosomal RNA, 440 nt
Filed under: uncultured bacterium
Lineage: Bacteria
Description: partial 16S ribosomal RNA
Rfam family: Bacterial small subunit ribosomal RNA
Source: RNAcentral
CCUACGGGGGGCAGCAGUAGGGAAUAUUGCUCAAUGGGGGAAACCCUGAAGCAGCAACGCCGCGUGGAGGAUGAAGGUUUUCGGAUUGUAAACUCCUUUUGUUAGAGAAGAUAAUGACGGUAUCUAACGAAUAAGCACCGGCUAACUCCGUGCCAGCAGCCGCGGUAAUACGGAGGGUGCAAGCGUUACUCGGAAUCACUGGGCGUAAAGAGCGCGUAGGCGGGAUAGCAAGUCAGACGUGAAAUCCUAGGGCUUAACCAUAGAACUGCAUUUGAAACUGGUAUUCUAGAGUAUGGGAGAGGUAGGUGGAAUUCUUGGUGUAGGGGUAAAAUCCGUAGAGAUCAAGAGGAAUACUCAUUGCGAAGGCGACCUGCUAGAACAUAACUGACGCUGAUGCGCGAAAGCGUGGGGAGCAAACAGGAUUAGAUACCCGUGUAGUC